Dermacentor andersoni is the source of this 1022-nucleotide long non-coding RNA. RefSeq lists it as uncharacterized. NCBI's taxonomy places the organism in Eukaryota, Metazoa, Arthropoda, Arachnida, Ixodida, Ixodidae. The record is from RefSeq and is a predicted model, not a curated record.
GCGGAAACCUCUCCUGUCUCUUGGGAGGAACCCGGGAGCGCUACGCCACCUGUCAUCAGCCACGAUCCAGAACUCAACCAAGCGUCCUCGCUCGCGAGAGAAGUCAUACCUGCAAGGCCCUGGAGGAAGACGACCAAUGGCGUGCACACUUACGUGGGCCCACUGGGCGUGUGCCAGCGGCCCGACUGUAGCCAGCCCGGCCGUGUCAAGUGCAUCGACUGCGGCCUGGCAUCCUAUUGCAGCAGUCGCUGUCUGAAGGCGGACGCGGACAGGCACAGGCUUUCCUGCUACCGCCCGCCCUGGCGAACAUAACAGCGCCUGUGCACCGCUCCAAGGAUGCGCCUCCGGAAGGUCUCGAGGAGCCCCGUGUUUAUGGCUAGGAAGAGAAGCCAUAUCAUCGGAAAGAAAAAAAGAUGAAAAUGGUUUCCACGGGGACAACUGAAAGAGGCAGACGAAAUGACGAGGCCAAUGCAAGGAGACGCAACCAUGGCAGACAAGGGCGCCUCCUCGUCUUCCUCAAAAGGGCGGCGCAUGCUGGAGUAGUGCGAGACGGCGUACUGUGGCACACGUACUGCAUCCAACCCGCGAGCAAGGACGGGGUCGAUUGCACCCCCACUGCCAGACGCUGUAGCAAAGCUGGUCUGGGUUCGUGUCGAGAGCACACAUCAACUGAAUAUGUUGCCUGGAUUUGCCGUUGAAAUUCCGUGAUAACUACCUCGAAUUAUGGGCGACUUUCAGGACUUUUAGGAAAUUAUGGUUCAUUAAAGGGUCCCUCACCAGGCCCCAUAGCAAACUUUGGUUAUGCGCUGGAAGUUUUUACGUGUCCUCUAGGGAGCGUUCUGCCGCAAAAAAUUUUCAAAUCGGCUCAUUAAUAGCCGACAUAGAAAUACUUCAGUAUCGCAAACAUAUGAUCUCAGCAGGCGGGCUCCACUGCCAAGCAAGACGCCCUCUCCACUCGCCCCGUCUAGCCUCCACAAGCGAAAUUCCUUCCCUGCGUUCUCCCAUACCGGACCUCGAGGAUC